Molecule: ribosomal RNA, 253 nt
Filed under: uncultured bacterium
Lineage: Bacteria
Description: partial 16S ribosomal RNA
Rfam family: Bacterial small subunit ribosomal RNA
Source: RNAcentral
UACGGAGGGUGCGAGCGUUGCUCGGAAUCACUGGGCGUAAAGCGUACGCAGGCCGUUUUGUAAGUCGGGUGUGAAAGCCCGGGGCUCAACCCCGGAACUGCGCCCGAGACUGCAGGACUUGAAUGCGGGAGAGGAAAGCGGAAUUCCUGGUGUAGAGGUGAAAUUCGUAGAUAUCAGGAGGAACACCUGUGGCGAAAGCGGCUUUCUGGUCCAGCACCGACGUUCAGGCACGAAAGCGUGGGGAGCAAACAGG